Molecule: ribosomal RNA, 253 nt
Filed under: uncultured bacterium
Lineage: Bacteria
Description: partial 16S ribosomal RNA
Rfam family: Bacterial small subunit ribosomal RNA
Source: RNAcentral
UACGUAGGGGGCAAGCGUUGUUCGGAAUUACUGGGCGUAAAGGGCGCGUAGGCGGCACAGCAAGUCGGAAGUGAAAGCCCGGGGCUCAACCCCGGAAUGUCUUUCGAAACUGCUGAGCUAGAGUGCAGAAGAGGCAACUGGAAUUCCCAGUGUAGCGGUGAAAUACGUAGAUAUUGGGAAGAACACCUGAGGCGAAGGCGGGUUGCUGGGCUGACACUGACGCUGAGGCGCGAAAGCCAGGGGAGCGAACGGG